GGCACUGUUGCUUAGUUGGUCAAAACACCUGUCUAGUAAACAGGAGAUUUUGAGUUUGAAUCCCAGUAGUGCCU
Non-coding RNA from Danio rerio (zebrafish), 74 nucleotides. The record is from Rfam. NCBI's taxonomy places the organism in Eukaryota, Metazoa, Chordata, Actinopteri, Cypriniformes, Danionidae.